This 2752-nucleotide ribosomal RNA is filed under the name Candidatus Endolissoclinum faulkneri L2. Its description in RNAcentral is "bacterial LSU rRNA". It matches the Rfam family "Bacterial large subunit ribosomal RNA". Lineage: Bacteria; Pseudomonadati; Pseudomonadota; Alphaproteobacteria; Rhodospirillales; Rhodospirillaceae. RNAcentral also lists the same sequence under 1 other name. The record is from RNAcentral.
UCAAGCGUCUCAAGGGCGUUUGGUGGAUGCCUUGGCAUCGAGAGGCGAUGAAGGACGUAAUACGUUGCGAAAAGCUUUGGGGAGCUGCGAAUAAGCUUUGAUCCAGAGAUUUCCGAAUGGGAAAACCCGACCCUUUAGGGUCAUCGUUGUAUAAAUGCAUAAAGCAACGAAGCAAACCCGGUGAACUGAAAUAUCUAAGUAACCGGAGGAAAGGACAUCAACCGAGACUCCGUUAGUAGUGACGAGCGAACGCGGACCAGGCCAGUGGCAAUUGCAAGAAAACGGGAACUUUCUGGAAAGUUAGGCCAUAGUAGGUGAUAGCCCAGUACCGGUAUUGCUUGUUUUUGCCCGUGAGUAGAUCGAGGCACGUGAAACCUUGAUUGAAUAUGGGGGGACCACCCUCCAAGCCUAAGUACUCCUCGAUGACCGAUAGUGAACUAGUACCGUGAGGGAAAGGUGAAAAAUAUCCCGAUAAGGGAAGUGAAAUAGAUCUGAAACUGAACGCCUACAAGCAGUGGGAGCCUCUUUAAGAGGUGACCGCGUACCUUUUGUAUAAUGGGUCAGCGAGUUAAUUUGACGAGCAAGCUUAAGCCGUUAGGUGCAGGCGUAGCGAAAGCGAGUCUUAAUUAGGGCGUUAAGUUCGUUGGAUUAGACCCGAAACUGAGUGAUCUAGCUAUGGGCAGGUUGAAGGUGCGGUAACACGCACUGGAGGACCGAACCCACGUCUGUUGAAAAAGGCGGGGAUGACCUGUGGCUAGGGGUGAAAGGCCAAUCAAACUCAGAAAUAGCUGGUUCUCCGCGAAAGCUAUUUAGGUAGCGCGUUGCGUGAUUACCGUCGGGGGUAGAGCACUGGAUAAGCUAGGGGGUGCGAACCUUACCAAACCUAACCAAACUCCGAAUACCGACGAGUAUAAUGCAGCAGACAGUCCAUGGGUGCUAAGGUCCGUGGACGAGAGGGAAACAGCCCAGACCUCCAGCUAAGGCCCCUAAGUGGCAGCUAAGUGGGAAAGGAUGUGGGAAGGCCAAGACAACCAGGAAGUUGGCUUAGAAGCAGCCAUCCUUUAAAGAAAGCGUAAUAGCUCACUGGUCUAAAUAAGCCCGCCUGCGCCGAAGAUGUACCGGGGCUCAAGCGGCCCGCCGAAGCUGAGGAUUCAGUUGAUACAAGAACUGAAUGGUAGCGGAGCGUUCCGUAAGCCUGCGAAGGGAUUUUGUAAAAAGUCCUGGAGGUAUCGGAAGUGAGAAUGCUGACAUGAGUAGCGACAAAGAGUGUAAGAAACACUCUCGCCGUAAGUCUAAGGGUUCCUGCGCAAGGUUAAUCCGCGCAGGGUUAGUCGGCCCCUAAGAUGAGGGUGAAAACCGUAAUCGAUGGGAAUUAGGUUAAUAUUCCUAAACCUGGUGGUAGUGACGGAUGCUGAAAAUGGUUUUUUCUUAUUGGAUUGAAAGAGCUGUCUAAGUGUUCCAGGAAAUAGCUCCACCUUUAAUAGACCGUACCCAAAACCGACACAGGUAGACUGGUAGAGAAUACCGAGGCGCUUGAGAGAACUAUGUUGAAGGAACUCGGCAAAAUGCCCUCGUAACUUAGGGAUAAGGGGGACCUUUUAUUGGGCAACCAGUGGAGGGUGGCACAGACUAGGGGGUAGCGACUGUUUACUAAAAACACAGGACUCUGCUAAGUCUUCCAGACGAAGUAUAGGGUCUAACGCCUGCCCGGUGCCGGAAGGUUAAGAGGAGAGGUGCAAGCUUUGAAUUGAAGCCCCGGUAAACGGCGGCCGUAACUAUAACGGUCCUAAGGUAGCGAAAUUCCUUGUCGGGUAAGUUCCGACCUGCACGAAUGGCGUAACGACUUCCCCGCUGUCUCCAACAUAGACUCAGCGAAAUUGAAUUCUCCGUGAAGAUGCGGAGUACCCACGGUCAGACGGAAAGACCCCGUGCACCUUUACUACAACUUUGUAGUGAAAUUAGAAGAUUAAUGUGUAGGAUAGGCGGGAGGUUAUGAAGCACAGGCGCUAGUUAGUGUGGAGCCGACCUUGAAAUACCGCCCUUUAAUUUUUUGAUUUCUAACCGAGAUCCGUUAUCCGGAUCCGGGAUCCUGCAUGGUGGGUAGUUUGACUGGGGCGGUCGCCUCCUAAAGAGUAACGGAGGCGCGCGAUGGUAGGCUCAGGCUGGUCAGAAAUCAGCCGUUGAGUGCAAUGGCACAAGCCUGCCUGACUGCGAGGCUGACGGGCCGAGCAGAGACGAAAGUCGGUCAUAGUGAUCCGGUGGUACCGCGUGGAAGGGCCAUCGCUCAACGGAUAAAAGGUACGCCGGGGAUAACAGGCUGAUACCCCCCAAGAGUCCACAUCGACGGGGGUGUUUGGCACCUCGAUGUCGGCUCAUCACAUCCUGGGGCUGUAGCUGGUCCCAAGGGUUCGGCUGUUCGCCGAUUAAAGUGGUACGUGAGCUGGGUUUAGAACGUCGUGAGACAGUUCGGUCCCUAUCUGCCGUGGGUGUUCGAGACUUGAGAGGAGCUGUCCCUAGUACGAGAGGACCGGGAUGGACACACCUCUGGUGGACCGGUUGUGGCGCCAGCCGCAUCGCCGGGUAGCUAUGUGUGGAAAGGAUAACCGCUGAAAGCAUCUAAGCGGGAAGCCUCACUCAAAACUAGGUCUCGCUUGAGAACCGUGGAAGACUACCACGUAGAUAGGCUGGGUGUGGAAGCGUGCUAACACGUGAAGCUAACCAGUACUAAUCGUUCGAUUGGCUUGAUCGAUCA